AUUUCUAGAAAUGGCCCUUUUACUGUUAUCAGGAAGAAUCCUGAAUAAAGAGACAAAAGGCCUGGCUUUAAUUCUGACCUUCCCCACUGUGCGACCUCCCUUGGCCUUCCAGAUGAAUUAUCCAAGAUGACCCCUCUAGUACUAAACCUGAACCUCUCAGCAAAAGACACUCUCUCGUCAGACAAAGACUGGUGCCCACAGAAGAGCAAUAAGAAGCUGGAUCCAGACAGAGACGGGCCCAGCGUGUUCCAUGACCAGAUCUGCAGAGCAGAGAGGGGCUCCUGAGAAGGCGUGGUCUUCUGCUGAACAGUCAUCCUGUGCUUGCUUUUUGUUGUUCUCUGUGUUUCUUUUUAAGUCAUAGGUCAGUGAUUUCCCCACAUCCUGCCCUGGGGACAGAUAGAGGAAGAUGUGAUUCACAGAAACAGCUGGUUGGGGACCCCGAUGCCUGGAGACAGAUUGGUCUGGGAGCAAGGAUGUGGGUGAACUGAGGUGCCACUUUGGGUCUGCAAACCCCUGGGACACUGGGGCUAGGGAAACAGGAGGCAGCACAUGCAAACUGCUGAGAGAAGAUCUAACUUGAGUUUACCUCUCCCUGGAUGACUCUUCCCAAGAGGAAGUAAGCAGUUAGGAGGAGGACUGAGCGUAAUGGUUGCCACCGAGACUUAGUGUACUCCAGAGCGAGGCCAGAGGUCACAGAACUUCAGGAGAGGAAAGGUCUGAUGGGGACAUAAAUCCCAGUCCUGUUGCUCACUAGCUCCGUGGCCUUAGCAAAUCUCUUUUAGAACCUUCCCUUCCACAUUUGUAAAACCUUUUUCCUCACCUAACCUGCCUCAUGGAAUUGUCAUCAAAGGGGGAUUACAGGAAGCCAAGCAGCACACAGCAAGGACCCCUUCCCAGCAUGCAUCUGAGAUUAUCUGCAAAUCAGACAGGAGGUUUAUCUUGCCUCUGAGCAUUCAAUGAGGAGUUUGCUCUUGUGAGGUUCCCAAGAGAAUAAACUCAAGCCAUCCAGAGUCCCAGAGACACGUUCUGGACCAUUGAUCUUCUGGACUGCAUUUGCUGGAAACUUUUUGCUACAAAUAGAGCUACCUGAGAGUGUGCCAAAUCAUGGAACCCAGCCCAGAUUCCGGGAACUCCAGGAAAAUAGAUCCAUUGGACGGAUAAACAGGGUUGGAGACGGUCCUACAGCUCCUGGGCUCUGGUCUCCAUCCCGCUGCUGACUGGUUGGGUAAUUUGGAAGACCACUUUCACCUCUCCAGGCUUCCUUUUCUAUGUGCAAAGUGACCAGAAGGCUUCCGCUUCUGGUGUCCCAUUGUCCUGGGAUAAUCCUCUGUUCAGUUCUCAUUCUCUGCAUGAUGAGCACAUCAUCCUUAGAAGGAGUCAGUCCACGGCCAGGUAAGGUGAGGGCGUACCUGCCUAAGCUCUGCACGGCGUCCUAGUGGGGAAAUAAAGUCACUGAGAACCCGCCACAGGGUAGCUGGGAGGACAGAGGUCCACGGAUAACUCCAUGUGAACUCACAAGAGGACCCUCAACAAUAAAAAUGGGAGAGACACAUGGUGGCAUGGUGGGCAAGGGAGGUCACUAAGCUUCA
This is a long non-coding RNA of Marmota flaviventris (yellow-bellied marmot), 1589 nucleotides long. RefSeq lists it as uncharacterized. The record is from RefSeq and is a predicted model, not a curated record. NCBI's taxonomy places the organism in Eukaryota, Metazoa, Chordata, Mammalia, Rodentia, Sciuridae.